CUUAGUAAGAACUCCUUAACAACUUAAAGCUUUAUCCCUGUGAGUACCAGAAAAGUGAUCUGAGUAUUUAUUGAGCAGGGAGAACAAACUGCUUGCUCCAGUCAGGGAGAAAGCUUAUGGAAAUGAUAUUAGACCUUCAGCAAAGUGCACAGCUGCAUCAUACAGAAGCUGAGACUCAAACUGACAGGCAAAUAAGCCAGAUCACGGAAGGGGCCUCUGUGUGGCAGCUCUGAGCUACCAAGUGUUGGACAACUAGGCAAAAAGUGCAAUGGAACAGGGCAGAAAAUAGCACACUAACUUCAGGCAACUGUUGCUUUUUCAUGGUCUUUAGGGAUUUUACACUGCGUAUCUGGAAAAACAAGUCACCGUUUAAACACUAAGUCUACAGCUUGAAUGAUCUGGAAGGUAACAUUUUCUGUAGAUGAAAACUUCUGCCUGCUGUGAUAUCCCACUCUUUGAGUGAUGCCACAUGCAGCACUGAGUAGUACUGGCAAACGGAAGAGAUUUCGUGGAAUAAGGUGUGCAGCUGCCAUUCUGUCUCAGCAGGACUGUGUUUGCCACUUCAUGAGCUGCAGAGCAAGAGGAGCCAACUUUAGGAGAAGGCAUAUUGUGAUACCCUCACUGUAUGCUUCUUGGGCACCCAUUCUUGAAGAGUUUUUGGAAUAUUUCCACAAUCUGAUGUUAAAAGACAGCUCAGAAAAAGAGGGAAUUGGAAUUUCCCUUUGGAAGAGCCCCUCUCUGUCCAUUGAUGGGCAUGGAAAUGUGCCUUCUUAAAUGAGAUUUCUUUUACAAUGCAUUCUGUUCAGGCCAGAAUCUGCUUAACUGUCCAGUGAAAGAAAAAGUAAAAAUGAAAAAAGAAAAUGAAGAAGUUAAUUAUACCAGAAAUCAACGAAGCUGAACGGCUUCCCGAAGAGCACUGAGUUUUCUAUGCCAGAUUCUGCUCCAGUGGCUAGGACCUUUAUGGCUGCUGUUUCUUUUGCUCUGGGAUCUGAUGGAGAGAAAAAAAAAAUAAAAAAAGCCACGGUGGAUCUUGUCCCUAAAGUAGAAAUUUUCUUUUUCAUUCUGCAAACAAGGCUAAAGAUCGGAGGAGAAUGAAUGCAAAAGUAAUUCAGGAUUGUGGUCGUGCCAUUAAAAGUGUUCGGCUUCAGAACAAAAUUAUUCGGGAAAUCCGAGCAUUUCUUCUUACUGUAUCGACAGUAUUUGAAAGUUAUGUGUGCUUUGAGUAAUCUGGUUCAAGUGACAACAAUCUCUGCAUGUCAAUGUUUUCUGCAGCUUAUGGAGUGAAGUAUAGUUUUGCCAUUGGAAAGGAAGAAGCUUUUUGUAGCAGUCUGUAGAAGGAUUAAAUGUUGAACGUGGGGAAGAGGCAAAAAGUGAAUACACGCCCAAAGGUUAUCCUUGCAUCGUGAAUGGGUUUAAAGUACUCUGCAACCCAGGGCCCACCUGAACAGUAGGACUGAAAGUAUAAUGGGGAAAUAUUUCAAUUAGAACCCCCUUAACAAGCAUUUAAUCCUUCUUUCAGGCAUUAAGGAAAAUAUAAUAAAAUUGUUACUGUACAAAUCUGCUGGAAGCAGAUUUUUAACCCGUUUAUAGAGGCUUCCCUCAGAUGCAUUAUAAUAAUAUGGCUGCUUGCAAGAUGAAGCAGUGAAGAUUUUUUUCCUGUGUUCUUUGUUUUUUCUUUUCAAAAGUUAAGGACUAUACUCUCAGAAAAGUCUGUUCGGUCAGCUGAUACAUUGUUUGAAUGUAUGUAUGUGUCUUGCCUGCUUAUUUGAUCUUUUCUGCCCCCUACUUGAAACUGUGGUUUGUUUAUCUGGGGGGAAGGAGGGGUUGUUGAUUUGGGGGGAUGCUGUUUUUAGGGUUUUUUGGGGGGGUUGUGUGGGGUGUUUUUUUUAACAAUAGCAGUGAAAGUUUUGCUGACAGCGAUUAUGACUACUAAGCAAUUCAGUUUAUUGGAAGACGAAUUCUACUGGACCAUAUCGGACUUUUCCUAGUCCCUGAGACCCUAACUUGUGAGGUUUUUUAGCAACAAUCACAAGUCAGGCUCUUGGGACCUAGGCGGAGGGGAACCAGCAGCUUUGGACUGUGAUUGUUUCUCUGCAGAAUUUAGAGAACCAAAGGAGCUUUCCUUGUCUCGAAGGGUAAAAAGGAAAAGAUACCUAUUUCAAAUGUUAAGCAACACAACUGUUCCUAAAAGAAAAAAGAAAAAAAAAAUCUAAACAACUGCUAUCCAUUGUACAACAUUAGGAAGUUACAUAUUUAUAUGUUUAGAAAACUGAACUAAAUGCCAUGUAACAUUUAGAAUUAAAAUUUAAUCUGAAUACCAGUUUGCACCUAAAAAAAAAAAGCCCAAACAACAAAAACAACAAAACCCCCCUCUCAAAACUGAUACUAAAAUAUACAAAAGGCUUUCAACUAUAGUAUUACUAUUACUAUUAUAGAAAAUUCUGAUAAUUACCACAAAGUAUAGAGUCAUCCUGACUGUUGCAGCAUUAACUUUUAAAACAUAAAACAAAAACACUGAUGUUUGAGGCCUAGAAAACAUUCAUUCUAUUGUUUGAAUAAUGAUUUCAGUCUACAGGAAAACUGUUGCUUAGCUUUUCCUGUAACAUGGGACAAAGAGUAUUUUGUAGUUAAUUGCCAUCUUUUUUCUUUGUCCAAGUGAAAACACAAUAUGUCAUUUAAAAUAUUCUCUCAUUUAAUUUACAUUUUAAUCUGAGAUGGAAUAUUGGUUUAAAAAUCAUACUACAGCAUUAAAAUCACUUUGCACCCAGAAUCACUUUCUUGUACCUGUUCAACUUAAAGUGAGCCACCAGUACUCUAAGUACCAGACCCAACUUCUAGCUUCUCCAUCACUUUUUGCAUUUUUCACCCCUCUGACAAAAAGCAGUGUGAGCUUUAGAUUGUCCCUCAUGUGUUAAGUACUUCACUGACUUUGCAUAAGAAGAUUCACAAGCAAACGAGGUAUUUCACAAGCACACUGUUCAUUAAACUCAAACUUCCUAUCUACAACACAGAAUAUGAUUUGUAUUUCUUAAUAUUUUAUAGGUGGUUUAGUUCUGAGUAAUUUUUCUCUGUUUCCUGUGUCUAACCAAGAUGCUGCAAGACCUUGUUGAUGCAUCAGACUUCACUGAAACAAAGACUUCACACAGAUCAGGCAUCUAAACUAUUUGUUCAUUUCAGAAGUGGUAUUUUGGCUGCAGUAUAUUUUUUCCACUUGCGUGGGAGGAAUUGUGUUUUAUUGUAAGCAUCAACACUAUUGUUAAAAUAAAUGGUUCUUAUCUGUUAGUAUAA
Molecule: RNA transcript, 3288 nt
Organism: Lepidothrix coronata (blue-crowned manakin)
Lineage: Eukaryota; Metazoa; Chordata; Aves; Passeriformes; Pipridae
Exons: 9
Source: RefSeq, a predicted model, not a curated record